UCUUAUUUUUUCUCACUCAAACUAACCCUAAUCUGAAGAAAGAAAGAACAGAAACGGCGCAACACAAGAACAGAACAUGACGAACGACAACCCACAGGCCACAGCUACACCUUCAUCUCUCAACCUCUAAACCUUCAAUACUCACACGAAAUCAAACUAAAUAGCUCAGUCUUCGCCACUGCUCCUUCGUCCGUCUCUCUAUCUCUCACUUUCGUCAUCUCAUCGCAUCACCUUAUUUAUUGUUGAUUCUAAGGGGGAAGAAAGAGUCUGGAGAAAGAAAUGGAAAAGAAAUAGCUGAAAAAGGAACUCAAGCAAGUCGUUCUCCUAAUCCAGCAACUCAAGUCUCAAGACAUGCCAUUGAACUUGUUUGUUUCAGCCAUUGUUUUUUCCAGUUGGGACUGUAGUUAAUUAAUUUAUUGACCGCUCUCAUGUUCUCUCAUGGUGGUUGAUUAAAGAGGAACAAGAAAAACUCAUAGUAAUUGACUUGCGAGUGCUAAGAAAUCAUGGCUGAUUAAAGAGGAACAAGAAAAAAUCUUAAUUGACCGGCAA
Long non-coding RNA from Trifolium pratense (red clover), 549 nucleotides. RefSeq lists it as uncharacterized. Lineage: Eukaryota; Viridiplantae; Streptophyta; Magnoliopsida; Fabales; Fabaceae. The transcript has 3 exons. The record is from RefSeq and is a predicted model, not a curated record.